AACCCUCGCCUCUAGUUGCCAGCAUUCAGUUGGGCACUCUAGAGGGACCUGCCCGGUGAUAAGCCGCGAGGAAGGUGGGGAUGACGUCAAGUCCUCAUGGCCCUUACGGGCUGGGCUACACACGUGCUACAAUGGUGGUGACAGUGGGAUGCAAAAGGGCGACCUCUAGCAAAUCUCCAAAAGCCAUCUCAGUUCGGAUUGCACUCUGCAACUCGAGUGCAUGAAGUUGGAAUCGCUAGUAAUCGUGGAUCAGCAUGCCACGGUGAAUACGUUCCCGGGCCUU
RNAcentral lists this ribosomal RNA (283 nucleotides) under uncultured Xanthobacter sp. RNAcentral's name for it is "partial 16S ribosomal RNA". It matches the Rfam family "Bacterial small subunit ribosomal RNA", at positions 1100 to 1382 of the family's 1533-position model. Lineage: Bacteria; Pseudomonadati; Pseudomonadota; Alphaproteobacteria; Hyphomicrobiales; Xanthobacteraceae. The record is from RNAcentral.